AUUAAGAGGAAAAUCAUAUUGAAUCAAAGCCAUAAAGCCCCAGCUUGUCUGAGAGUAGGCACUAAAUCACCAUUAAUAUGAGCAGCCAUCAGAUUCUCCAAUCCUCCAAACAACUUUCCUCCUAUGAACAUGACUGGUAAGUUCUCUUUAUUAAUAACAGUUUUACCCAAAUCACUUAUGAUCAUAUCGUUAUUGUCUUCUUCGUCAAUCUCAACUACUAAUGGGUUCACGCCGUGUGUCAGUAACAACCUUUUCACCACAUGUCCCAUACAACAACCCUUCCUCGCAAACACCACCACAGCAUUCUCCAUCACCAAAACGUUAUAGCUUGAUUUCUUAGUGCUUGAAGAUGAUGGCUUUU
Molecule: long non-coding RNA, 361 nt
Filed under: Brassica rapa (field mustard)
Lineage: Eukaryota; Viridiplantae; Streptophyta; Magnoliopsida; Brassicales; Brassicaceae
Description: long non-coding RNA (BRAP_LNC007501)
Source: RNAcentral